GGCGGCAGGCCUAACACAUGCAAGUCGAGCGGAAACGACACUAACAAUCCUUCGGGUGCGUNAAUGGGCGUCGAGCGGCGGACGGGUGAGUAAUGCCUAGGAAAUUGCCUUGAUGUGGGGGAUAACCAUUGGAAACGAUGGCUAAUACCGCAUAAUGCCUACGGGCCAAAGAGGGGGAUCUUCGGACCUCUCGCNUCAAGAUAUGCCUAGGUGGGAUUAGCUAGUUGGUGAGGUAAUGGCUCACCAAGGCGACGAUCCCUAGCUGGUCUGAGAGGAUGAUCAGCCACACUGGAACUGAGACACGGUCCAGACUCCUACGGGAGGCAGCAGUGGGGAAUAUUGCACAAUGGGCGAAAGCCUGAUGCAGCCAUGCCGCGUGUAUGAAGAAGGCCUUCGGGUUGUAAAGUACUUUCAGUUGUGAGGAAGGGUGUGUAGUUAAUAGCUGCGCAUCUUGACGUUAGCAACAGAAGAAGCACCGGCUAACUCCGUGCCAGCAGCCGCGGUAAUACGGAGGGUGCGAGCGUUAAUCGGAAUUACUGGGCGUAAAGCGCAUGCAGGUGGUUCAUUAAGUCAGAUGUGAAAGCCCGGGGCUCAACCUCGGAACUGCAUUUGAAACUGGUGAACUAGAGUGCUGUAGAGGGGGGUAGAAUUUCAGGUGUAGCCGGUGAAAUGCGUANAGAUCUGAAGGGAAUACCAGUGGCGAAANGCGGGCCCCCUGGGACAGGCCACUUGACACUUAANAUGCCNAAAAGCGUGGGGGAGCAAAANAGGAUUAGAUACCCUUGGUAGUNCCACCCCGUAAAACCNAUGUUCUUCUUUGG
RNAcentral lists this ribosomal RNA (821 nucleotides) under marine gamma proteobacterium S5. Its description in RNAcentral is "bacterial SSU rRNA". It matches the Rfam family "Bacterial small subunit ribosomal RNA", at positions 38 to 824 of the family's 1533-position model. The record is from RNAcentral. Lineage: Bacteria; Pseudomonadati; Pseudomonadota; Gammaproteobacteria.